ACCUACGGGGGGCAGCAGUGGGGAAUAUUGCACAAUGGGGGAAACCCUGAUGCAGCGACGCCGCGUGAAGGGAGAAGUAUUUCGGUAUGUAAACUUCUAUCAGCAGGGAAGAAAAUGACGGUACCUGACUAAGAAGCCCCGGCUAAAUACGUGCCAGCAGCCGCGGUAAUACGUAUGGGGCAGGCGUUAUCCGGAUUUACUGGGUGUAAAGGGAGCGCAGGCGGCCUGGCAAGCCUGAUGUGAAAUACCGGGGCCCAACCCCGGGGCUGCAUUGGGAACUGCCAGGCUGGAGUGCCGGAGAGGCA
This 305-nucleotide ribosomal RNA is filed under the name uncultured bacterium. Its description in RNAcentral is "bacterial SSU rRNA". It matches the Rfam family "Bacterial small subunit ribosomal RNA", at positions 337 to 659 of the family's 1533-position model. The record is from RNAcentral.